Molecule: ribosomal RNA, 253 nt
Filed under: uncultured bacterium
Lineage: Bacteria
Description: partial 16S ribosomal RNA
Rfam family: Bacterial small subunit ribosomal RNA
Source: RNAcentral
UACGUAGGGUGCGAGCGUUAAUCGGAAUUACUGGGCGUAAAGCGUGCGCAGGCGGUUUUGUAAGCCAGAUGUGAAAGCCCCGGGCUUAACCUGGGAAUGGCAUUUGGGACUGCAAGGCUUGAGUGCGGCAGAGGAGACUGGAAUUCCCGGUGUAGCAGUGAAAUGCGUAGAUAUCGGGAGGAAUACCGAUGGCGAAGGCGGGUCUCUGGGCCGAUACUGACGCUGAGGAGCGAAAGCGUGGGGAGCGAACAGG